GGCUUCGUUCGAUUCGUUUAGCAUGGACGGCGAUGACUCUGUGGCGAUGGCGGCAAGUCCUUCCUUCCACGACGGCGACUAUUCCGCUGCCGGCACGCCGGUUUAUGAGGAAGUUACAGUCGAUCACGUUUCUCACACAGUCAACAAUCCCGAUCCCUACGGGUUCGGGUCGGGUCAAUCAAUUCCUUUUGGUGACUCCGAGGCUCCGAUCGCUGAUGGAAAUGGUAAGGCUUACGAUCUCGGUGAAGAUUCUGAAGGAAUUUUCAGCUCCGAUGGACCGGUACUUCCUCCUCCUAGUGAAAUGAGAGAGGAAGGUUUAGCCCUACGCGAAUGGAGAAGGCAAAAUGCUGUCCGUCUUGAGGAGAAUGAGAAAAGGGAAAAGGAAAUCAGAAACCAAAUUAUUGAGGAAGGCGAAGAGCAUAAGAAAGCAUUCUAUGAGAAAA
RNAcentral lists this unclassified non-coding RNA (443 nucleotides) under Hevea brasiliensis (rubber tree). The record is from RNAcentral. Lineage: Eukaryota; Viridiplantae; Streptophyta; Magnoliopsida; Malpighiales; Euphorbiaceae.